GGUUGGGCGUAAGCUUUCAAGGUGUGUUUUUCUAGGGCGAGAAAAA
This 46-nucleotide non-coding RNA is filed under the name Vagococcus fluvialis. Its description in RNAcentral is "Na+-I sequence". It matches the Rfam family "Na+ riboswitch aptamer (DUF1646)". From Rfam's summary of the family: Proteobacteria, NC10, Acidobacteria, Verrucomicrobia. Lineage (Clostridia) The riboswitch of Na+ was first reported in a comparative analysis of intergenic regions and called DUF1646 RNA, it was also suggested that it acts as cis-reg RNA present upstream of Na+ genes. Lineage: Bacteria; Bacillati; Bacillota; Bacilli; Lactobacillales; Enterococcaceae. The record is from RNAcentral.